GGGAUUGCCCUAGUAACGGCGAGUGAAGCGGCAACAGCUCAAAUUUGAAAUCUGGCUUCGGCCCGAGUUGUAAUUUGCAGAGGAAGCUUUAGGCGCGGCACCUCCUGAGUCCCCUGGAACGGGGCGCCACAGAGGGUGAGAGCCCCGUAUAGUUGGAUGCCUAGCCUGUGUAAAGCUCCUUCGACGAGUCGAGUAGUUUGGGAAUGCUGCUCAAAAUGGGAGGUAAAUUUCUUCUAAAGCUAAAUACCGGCCAGAGACCGAUAGCGCACAAGUAGAGUGAUCGAAAGAUGAAAAGCACUUUGAAAAGAGGGUUAAAUAGCACGUGAAAUUGUUGAAAGGGAAGCGCUUGUGACCAGACUUGCGCCGGGCUGAUCAUCCGGUGUUCUCACCGGUGCACUCUGCCCGGCUCAGGCCAGCAUCGGUUCUCGCGGGGGGAUAAAGGCCCUGGGAACGUAGCUCCUCCGGGAGUGUUAUAGCCCGGGGCGCAAUGCCCUCGCGGGGACCGAGGUUCGCGCUCUGCAAGGAUGCUGGCGUAAUGGUCAUCAGCGACCC
This 552-nucleotide ribosomal RNA is filed under the name Chaetomium sp. Its description in RNAcentral is "LSU rRNA". It matches the Rfam family "Eukaryotic large subunit ribosomal RNA", at positions 71 to 650 of the family's 3401-position model. Lineage: Eukaryota; Fungi; Ascomycota; Sordariomycetes; Sordariales; Chaetomiaceae. The record is from RNAcentral.